This is a non-coding RNA of Cucurbita pepo subsp. pepo (vegetable marrow), 105 nucleotides long. The record is from RefSeq and is a predicted model, not a curated record. Lineage: Eukaryota; Viridiplantae; Streptophyta; Magnoliopsida; Cucurbitales; Cucurbitaceae.
AAUUCAUGGUUAGUACUUUCUAAGCAUCUCCUUAAAUCUCUCCCAAACUUCACUUAGUGUUUCAUUUUCAAACGGUUGAAAAGCAACAAUUUCAUUUUUGAAUCG